RNAcentral lists this ribosomal RNA (468 nucleotides) under uncultured bacterium. RNAcentral describes it as "partial 16S ribosomal RNA". It matches the Rfam family "Bacterial small subunit ribosomal RNA", at positions 28 to 507 of the family's 1533-position model. The record is from RNAcentral.
GACGAACGCUGGCGGCGUGCUUAACACAUGCAAGUCGAACGGAAAGGCCCUGCUUUUGUGGGGUGCUCGAGUGGCGAACGGGUGAGUAACACGUGAGUAACCUGCCCUUGACUUUGGGAUAACUUCAGGAAACUGGGGCUAAUACCGGAUAGGAGCUCCUGCUGCAUGGUGGGGGUUGGAAAGUUUCGGCGGUUGGGGAUGGACUCGCGGCCUAUCAGCUUGUUGGUGGGGUAGUGGCUUACCAAGGCUUUGACGGGUAGCCGGCCUGAGAGGGUGACCGGCCACAUUGGGACUGAGAUACGGCCCAGACUCCUACGGGAGGCAGCAGUGGGGAAUAUUGCACAAUGGGCGGAAGCCUGAUGCAGCAACGCCGCGUGCGGGAUGACGGCCUUCGGGUUGUAAACCGCUUUCGCCUGUGACGAAGCGUGAGAGACGGUAAUGGGUAAAGAAGCACCGGCUAACUACGUG